UUAUUCCUUCCCUUACUA
Molecule: transfer RNA, 18 nt
Filed under: Phyllomyias plumbeiceps
Lineage: Eukaryota; Metazoa; Chordata; Aves; Passeriformes; Tyrannidae
Also listed under: 1 other name
Description: partial tRNA-Met
Source: RNAcentral